Molecule: transfer RNA, 94 nt
Filed under: Candidatus Accumulibacter sp. BA-94
Lineage: Bacteria; Pseudomonadati; Pseudomonadota; Betaproteobacteria
Description: tRNA-Arg
Source: RNAcentral
GAAAUGCUGGCAGAAGGCAGCCGUCGGCGAGGCUUCUGACCUCACUCUUGCCGACGGGCGGCAUCGCUGCGCCUUCGACCCGCGCUCACUUUGC